CCACCGGCCCGGCCUGCUUCCUUCCCCUCCCGCCACAAUCCCAAAGGCACUCCUAAUGACCAUCCUGAACGCUCAACCCCAUCUCAAUGACUGCUUCCCAGGGAACCCAACCUACGGCCCCCUCAUUAGCAAAACAGAGAUAAUAGAAACCAGAGAGAAGAUGUCAGUGUCUCAUCAGCUUGAUCUGUGGACUGGCCUCCAGUCCACCCUGCAGGAACCUCUCCACAGAGACUGUUAAAUCCAAGGCCUGGGCCUCCUGCCGAAGAGGAGGUACGAUGAUGACGGGCACAACCCUGGGAGCAGGCAGACAGGUGGCAGCACCCUGACCACCAUGUCUGGACCCCCGAACCACUACCACCCAGCCCAGAGCCAACAGCAAGAAUUGAUGUACCAUUCAUAGAGACAGGAGCCCAGAGACCCAAGAAGAAAGCAAAGAUCAGCUACAGACACAUCAGCCACGGUCUCUUGCUACCCAGAGAGCCGAUCCCCUGUCCCCUUCACUCCCACCAAUAAAUCCAUGAACUUCUGGAGAAGUAUUUGAA
Long non-coding RNA from Odocoileus virginianus texanus, 542 nucleotides. RefSeq lists it as uncharacterized. The record is from RefSeq and is a predicted model, not a curated record. Lineage: Eukaryota; Metazoa; Chordata; Mammalia; Artiodactyla; Cervidae.